Long non-coding RNA from Pectinophora gossypiella (pink bollworm), 533 nucleotides. RefSeq lists it as uncharacterized. The record is from RefSeq and is a predicted model, not a curated record. The transcript is spliced from 2 exons. NCBI's taxonomy places the organism in Eukaryota, Metazoa, Arthropoda, Insecta, Lepidoptera, Gelechiidae.
GAUUUUGACAUUUGGGAUAAUUUUAAAUAUUGUUCUCUUAUACUGUAAAUCAAGAAAUGAUUAUUAGAAUUUAGUUUGGGAUUAUCAAGGGCACUAAGAACGCUCAUACUAUCUGUGACAAUUAACCAGUUAUUAUAUUCCUGUUUCUCUAUAUAUUCCAGUGCCUUUAAAAUAGCCAUAGCUUCAGCGGUAUAUAUGCUAGCAAGUUCAGACAAUUCCUGAGCUAUAUAAGGAAGGCUAGAACUGUUACCAGAGGAAAAACAAUGAAUUAUUUUCAAGACAAGAGGAUGAUUAGUUAUAGAUAGAAGUUUAAGGAUAAACUUGGAUUUUAAGAACGAAAACCUUAAUUUCAACGGAGGGAUGUUGCAUUCCACUUGCAAUGAGAUUAUAGGGGUAGACCUCAUAGCUCCAACAACUAUGCGUAAACACUUGUUUUGAAUUUUUUCCAAUUUUUCCACCAAAUAUGAGACAUUACCAAAACAAUAAAAAGCAUAUUCAAAGUGACUUCUAGCUAUAGAUUUAUACAAAUUUAA